This 253-nucleotide ribosomal RNA is filed under the name uncultured bacterium. RNAcentral's name for it is "partial 16S ribosomal RNA". It matches the Rfam family "Bacterial small subunit ribosomal RNA", at positions 524 to 776 of the family's 1533-position model. The record is from RNAcentral.
UACGAAGGGGGCUAGCGUUGCUCGGAAUCACUGGGCGUAAAGCGCGCGUAGGCGGCUUUGUAAGUUAGAGGUGAAAGCCCGGGGCUCAACUCCGGAAUUGCCUUUAAGACUGCAUCGCUAGAAUCCGGGAGAGGUGAGUGGAAUUCCGAGUGUAGAGGUGAAAUUCGUAGAUAUUCGGAAGAACACCAGUGGCGAAGGCGGCUCACUGGACCGGUAUUGACGCUGAGGUGCGAAAGCGUGGGGAGCAAACAGG